RNAcentral lists this ribosomal RNA (500 nucleotides) under uncultured organism. RNAcentral's name for it is "SSU rRNA". It matches the Rfam family "Bacterial small subunit ribosomal RNA", at positions 10 to 509 of the family's 1533-position model. The record is from RNAcentral.
AGUUUGAUCCUGGCUCAGGAUGAACGCUGGCGGCGUGCUUAACACAUGCAAGUCGAACGAAGCACUUUAUUACGAUCCCUUCGGGGUGACGAUUUUGUGACUGAGUGGCGGACGGGUGAGUAACGCGUGGGUAACCUGCCUCAUACAGAGGGAUAACAGUUGGAAACGGCUGCUAAUACCUCAUAAGCGCACAGUACCGCAUGGUACAGUGUGAAAAACUCCGGUGGUAUGAGAUGGACCCGCGUCUGAUUAGCUAGUUGGAGGGGUAACGGCCCACCAAGGCAACGAUCAGUAGCCGACUUGAGAGAGUGAUCGGCCACAUUGGGACUGAGACACGGCCCAAACUCCUACGGGAGGCAGCAGUGGGGAAUAUUGCACAAUGGGGGAAACCCUGAUGCAGCGACGCCGCGUGAAGGAUGAAGUAUUUCGGUAUGUAAACUUCUAUCAGCAAGGAAGAAAAUGACGGUACUUGACUAAGAAGCCCCGGCUAAAUACGUGCC